AGCGAAAAUGUGGACUUUGGGUUAAAACACAUUAAACGUAAACAACAAUACAAGACACGGCUCGAAAUUAUUAUAAAGCGAGGAGAGUGAUUUUAAAGCAACCUAUUUUUUAUUUCAGAUUAAUAAAAAAAAUGCCAGCUGACAUUUUGCGGUGUUUGUGUUGGCUCAUCCCGCGGCGCAUAUUCGAGUUCAAGUGCGCAAGACUCGACUCGACGCAAACAAGCUGAAACUUGGUCGUCUAGCGCAACCUGUCUUUUGUGUACACAGCAGAAUCCCGAGUCGCUGAGAAAGUCAUCGCUGGCUUAACGUUUGACUUGUACUCCUAAAGUGCGCCGUCAAAAACUGCGUGUUUACUCGACAGAGCCACACACGCGCUCGGCAGAAACGCCUUCCUGUGAAGGAGCUGUCAGAUUCCUCCGGCGUGUCCCAACACACACUUCCUGUUGUGUCGCCGGGUUUGUUAUGGCAACGGGAUAUGAUCGUGUGUGUGUAUGUGUGUGUGCGCUGGAGUUUCGAGGUCUCAAAACGCUUCCAUUCGUAACGACGACGUCAUGCCUAAGCUUCCCUGGGGAAUGUUCAACAUUUCGGCUGAACGAUGUGACGCAACACGAUGACUCACAAUCUUUACCUGACGCUUGAAGCGAAUGUUAACAUUAGCAUCAUCCGAACACAAUGUAUUUGUUUGACACUCCUCAUACCGUCGUCAUAAUAAAGAUGAUGUCUCUUUAAGGCGUCGAGUAAAAAAAAAAAAAAGCAUGAUCUUUUCAAAGAGGGCUGCCCUGCUAAAGCCGUUGCCCCCGUGACCCAAGCACGGCGAAGCGGUAGAGAAUGGAUGGAUGGAUUUUGUUCAGUUAUUCUCUUCAGAUUGUGCAAGUGUACCUAAUGUUGUGACCCGUGAGCGAAUCAAGUCCUCAGUCUGCGCCCUGAGUGGCGUCUCACAGGGAUCAAUUAACCUCCUCACAUGGAAGUUAUUGCUCCUGUCAGAUUCGAAAUGAAGACUUCGCAAGUUGUAUGUACAGUACAUCUUUGCUGAGCUAAGAACUGAAACGUUGGUCACACGCUCGCAAACGGCAAACCUCGUACAAGUGCGGAACGCCUUCUUUGCAUUUUUUUUUUUUAACUGUGCACAGUUAAAUGUGGCCAGUAAAAUGCAAAUUAGCAGCAAUCACCACCCAAGCUUCGUCAAAAAAGGAUCCUCAAUUGUGUGUUCCUGUCUGAGGUUUUUUUGUUUUUUGUUGUUUUUUUUUUACAUGCUGAACCAAAUGUUUUGACCUUAGAAAUUACUCGUCGUUAUACUUUGUGUACGUCAGACAUCUGAUGGACUUCAAAUAGCGGAAUAAGCAAGCCCCGCCCACCGCUCUCAAAUCCAUUUCGAAGUCCCCGUUAACGCCCGACUUUGGAGUUAUGUUCUCAAACUGCUUCACAAGCCCGUUUCCGUCCUGGAUAAAUUCACAGCGUCAACUGCGCAGCAGCCAUCUUCAUCAUAGGAAUGGAAACGAUGUUUCCAUUCAAGCCUAUAAAAGCAGCUCCCUGUUUUGUUUUGUUUUUUUACAGACAACACCCUCUCUAUGGAGGCUUUUAUCCCCCUCCCCCGACUGCCGUCCAAUGUGACCGGCUGUCAACAUCGCCAAAAUGCUGACUCCACACAAUCCACUUUGAGUGGACUGUAGGGUAAAAGCGUCAGUGGGUGUGUCUCGGUGACCUUUGACAAUGGCUACGCACGGAACAUAUGGACGCAUGCGUGGGUGGAAUCUCAAGGCAGUCGGACAUGGACGCGCACAAAAUAGCAGCGAGGAUAACCUGAACGCCAUCAGACACCUUUGGGGAGGGGACUUGUCACUCAAUCAUAUCACCCCAAUUUUUUUGCAAUGGCUUGCAGGUUGUGAACAUGCACUUUCCGUGAUGUCAGCCUUUUUUUUAAACCCCAAACUGAGUCGAACUUUGUUCUUUUCAAGGCUAAAACUGGCUUUUAAGUGAUGUCGUCUUCUCCGACGUUUAAUCUUAUUCGUCU
This is a long non-coding RNA of Hippocampus comes (tiger tail seahorse), 2011 nucleotides long. RefSeq lists it as uncharacterized. The transcript is spliced from 2 exons. Lineage: Eukaryota; Metazoa; Chordata; Actinopteri; Syngnathiformes; Syngnathidae. The record is from RefSeq and is a predicted model, not a curated record.